AGCUGCACAUCGUGAACUAAUUUGGUUCCCACCGCACCAUUUUUCAAACGGCAGCAAUUAAGAGCGCGUGCAUUAUCAAUACUGCGUUGCCUUGGAAAUAUAACGUCUCUUACAGCGGAAAUGCGCAACAUGUAUUUCCACUAAAAGUAACUUUUAUCGCGUUUAACCAAAUUCCCAGUUAAUUUUAGCAAGCUCUCCUAGCAAGUCGCCCCAUCUACACUGGAAUUGAUUCAUAAUUUAACUCCGAAGGAACAUCCUCCCGGGCGAGCCACCACGCCGCCUGGUCACAGAGGAGGUCCGAGGCGGGCACUGGAAAGACGUGCGAGAGACACUUUCAGUGACCCAUACGGUCCGCGCCCGCCCCUACUGCCACCGGACGACUUCUCCCAGCAGAGACACGGGGUGUCCCACUGAAUCCCAAGUGGGCUGCAGUGUCUGUGGGGUUUUGUGAUUUCCAUUCAAAUCUCAAGCCUAAAUCAGCAGCUGAACAAGGUGUGUGGAUUCCUCAGCUAAUCAGUGAUUUACAGUAA
Anguilla rostrata (American eel) is the source of this 530-nucleotide long non-coding RNA. RefSeq lists it as uncharacterized. Lineage: Eukaryota; Metazoa; Chordata; Actinopteri; Anguilliformes; Anguillidae. The record is from RefSeq and is a predicted model, not a curated record. The transcript has 3 exons.